Molecule: long non-coding RNA, 586 nt
Organism: Ipomoea nil (Japanese morning glory)
Lineage: Eukaryota; Viridiplantae; Streptophyta; Magnoliopsida; Solanales; Convolvulaceae
Exons: 2
Source: RefSeq, a predicted model, not a curated record
CGUGUUUUACGACAAACGGUGUAAGAAAAUUUGACUUUGACCAUUGGUCAAAAUUGAACUCCAUAUCUGUUUAUCCCGAAGUAAUAGCAAAGAAGAAGACAAAAGUGAAUUUUGAUCGAUUGAUAGUUGAUAGGGCCCUCCAACGGUUCUUCCAUCGCCGACGAAAGACAUCUCUCCAAAAUCAAUCGUGCAUUUAUGGAUAAGAAGAAUCCAGGCAAGAAGGUUUGUGAUGAGGACUCGACUCGGGAAUCGCUCAUUGCAAUAUCUUACUUAGCACCAGAGAAGGAACCUGCUUCUGGCUACAAACCUGAGGAUUUGACUAAGACUAAAAAUGGUGAGGGAGAUGACAUUUAUAGAUCUAAGCUGAUUUCAAUAUCUUACCAACAGUCACCAGACCCCAAAGAUCAACCUGGAGAAAUCAAGGGCAAGCUUAACUAGCUACUUCAUGUUUAGUCUGUGUGUAAAAACUGUGUUUUCAUGGUGUCAACUUCAUUCCAAUCAAUAUUACAGAAAACCCAACAUUAACUUGAAAUCAUCAAUGUGAAAAGCCUUAGCUUUUUUAUUUUUAAUAGUUGGUUUUCUUUUC